GUAAACUUCCUCUUCCUUCUGUAGCACCAACGGUAAAACACACACACACACACACACACACACACACACACACACACACUUCUCAGGUAAUCUGUUCCUUUCACAGACAGACUCUUUCCUUGAACGGUCUGCGGUGAUUCCCCUUUGGGUAAACACACUAAAAACAUUAAAAACACACGAGCACACACCUUCAAACUGACCUACUUCCAUUAUCUUCUCAUUUUUCACUCAUUAGCAGUUCAACUGAGCGUAGUCCAAGGUUAGUUUUGCUCCACCUCAACAAAAACAGCCAGAGAUUUACAACAAUGUUUCGUUAAGUGAAAGUUUUUGAUAUUUUUAUUCCUCACAUACUGUCAGGGUUAAAUUUCUGACUAUCCAUCCAGCUCUUACUGCUUAUCCAGGGUCGGGUCUUCCUCAACACCUCACCACAGAUGGUUAGAUACCUAGGCCACCUCAUCUGACUCGACCCUACUCCAAGUUCCUCUUGGAUAUUGACUCUAUAUCUCAAAAAGUUGUCUAAAAAGACAAUUUACGGAAACUAUUUAUUUAUUAUUAUUAUUAUUGUUUCUACUAAAAUAACUAUUACUGUUGUUAUU
Xyrichtys novacula (pearly razorfish) is the source of this 596-nucleotide non-coding RNA. Lineage: Eukaryota; Metazoa; Chordata; Actinopteri; Labriformes; Labridae. The record is from the annotation of a GenBank genome assembly.